CUUGUCUCAAAGAUUAAGCCAU
Molecule: non-coding RNA, 22 nt
Filed under: Arabidopsis thaliana (thale cress)
Lineage: Eukaryota; Viridiplantae; Streptophyta; Magnoliopsida; Brassicales; Brassicaceae
Also listed under: 1 other name
Source: RNAcentral